GAGGCCUGGCGGCAGCUACACAUGCAAGUCGAGCGGUAACAGAUCCAGCUUGCUGGAUGCUGACGAGCGGCGGACGGGUGAGUAAUGCAUAGGAAUCUGCCCGAUAGUGGGGGAUAACCUGGGGAAACCCAGGCUAAUACCGCAUACGUCCUACGGGAGAAAGGGGGCUUCGGCUCCCGCUAUCGGAUGAGCCUAUGUCGGAUUAGCUAGUUGGUGAGGUAACGGCUCACCAAGGCGACGAUCCGUAGCUGGUCUGAGAGGAUGAUCAGCCACAUCGGGACUGAGACACGGCCCGAACUCCUACGGGAGGCAGCAGUGGGGAAUAUUGGACAAUGGGGGGAACCCUGAUCCAGCCAUGCCGCGUGUGUGAAGAAGGCCCUCGGGUUGUAAAGCACUUUCAGCGAGGAAGAACGCCUAGCGGUUAAUACCCGCUAGGAAAGACAUCACUCGCAGAAGAAGCACCGGCUAACUCCGUGCCAGCAGCCGCGGUAAUACGGAGGGUGCAAGCGUUAAUCGGAAUUACUGGGCGUAAAGCGCGCGUAGGUGGCUUGAUAAGCCGGUUGUGAAAGCCCCGGGCUCAACCUGGGAACGGCAUCCGGAACUGUCAAGCUAGAGUGCAGGAGAGGAAGGUAGAAUUCCCGGUGUAGCGGUGAAAUGCGUAGAGAUCGGGAGGAAUACCAGUGGCGAAGGCGGCCUUCUGGACUGACACUGACACUGAGGUGCGAAAGCGUGGGUAGCAAACAGGAUUAGAUACCCUGGGUAGUC
RNAcentral lists this ribosomal RNA (765 nucleotides) under Vreelandella aquamarina. Its description in RNAcentral is "bacterial SSU rRNA". It matches the Rfam family "Bacterial small subunit ribosomal RNA", at positions 31 to 795 of the family's 1533-position model. Lineage: Bacteria; Pseudomonadati; Pseudomonadota; Gammaproteobacteria; Oceanospirillales; Halomonadaceae. The record is from RNAcentral.